UAGUAUAUCAAUGGAUCUAGAUUUAAGU
Molecule: small RNA, 28 nt
Filed under: Bombyx mori (domestic silkworm)
Lineage: Eukaryota; Metazoa; Arthropoda; Insecta; Lepidoptera; Bombycidae
Description: piRNA piR-bmo-1664876
Source: RNAcentral